GACGAACGCUGGCGGCGUGCUUAACACAUGCAAGUCGAACGGAAAGGCCCUGCUUUUGUGGGGUGCUCGAGUGGCGAACGGGUGAGUAACGCGUGAGUAACCUGCCCUUGACUUUGGGAUAACUUCAGGUAACUGGGGCUAAUACCGUAUCGGAGCUCCUGCUGCAUUGUGGGGGUUGGAAAGUUUCGGCGGUUGGGGAUGGACUCGCGGCUUAUCAGCUUGUUGGUGGGGUAGUGGCUUACCAAGGCUUUGACGGGUAGCCGGCCUGAGAGGGUGACCGGCCACAUGGGGACUGAGAUACGGCCCAGACUCCUACGGGAGGCAGCAGUGGGGAAUAUUGCACAAUGGGCGGAAGCCUGAUGCAGCAACGCCGCGUGCGGGAUGACGGCCUUCGGGUUGUAAACCGCUUUCGCCUGUGACGAAGCGUGAGUGACGGUAAUGGGUAAAGAAGCACCGGCUAACUACGUG
RNAcentral lists this ribosomal RNA (468 nucleotides) under uncultured bacterium. Its description in RNAcentral is "partial 16S ribosomal RNA". It matches the Rfam family "Bacterial small subunit ribosomal RNA", at positions 28 to 507 of the family's 1533-position model. The record is from RNAcentral.